Molecule: unclassified non-coding RNA, 253 nt
Filed under: Murispora sp.
Lineage: Eukaryota; Fungi; Ascomycota; Dothideomycetes; Pleosporales; Amniculicolaceae
Also listed under: 1 other name
Description: partial internal transcribed spacer region
Rfam family: Eukaryotic small subunit ribosomal RNA (bases 1-46)
Source: RNAcentral
AAGUCGUAACAAGGUUUCCGUAGGUGAACCUGCGGAAGGAUCAUUAUUGAAGGGGAAAAAAACUUCCCCAAAAAGGAUGUAGGCCAGCCUAAAUUUGGCUGGCACACACUGGCUAUGAAACCCUUGUCUAUAAGUACUCUUGUUUCCUCGGCAGGCUUGCCUGCCAAUGGGGACCCUAAUCAAUCUUUCAAUAUUGUUGUAACCGUAACCAAACAAAUAAUCAAAACUUUCAACAACGGAUCUCUUGGUUCUG